This 453-nucleotide ribosomal RNA is filed under the name uncultured Porphyromonadaceae bacterium. RNAcentral's name for it is "partial 16S ribosomal RNA". It matches the Rfam family "Bacterial small subunit ribosomal RNA", at positions 341 to 792 of the family's 1533-position model. Lineage: Bacteria; Pseudomonadati; Bacteroidota; Bacteroidia; Bacteroidales; Porphyromonadaceae. The record is from RNAcentral.
ACGGAAGGCAGCAGUGAGGAAUAUUGGUCAAUGGACGGAAGUCUGAACCAGCCAAGUCGCGUGAAGGAUGAAGGUAUUAUGUAUUGUAAACUUCUUUAGCAGUGGAGUAAUAAGGGGAUCGUGAUCCCUGAUGCAAGUACACUGAGAAUAAGGAUCGGCUAACUCCGUGCCAGCAGCCGCGGUAAUACGGAGGAUCCGAGCGUUAUCCGGAUUUACUGGGUUUAAAGGGUGCGCAGGCGGCUUUUUAAGUCAGUGGUUAAAUCGUGACGCUCAACGUCAUCACGCCAUUGAUACUGGAGAGCUUGAUUGCGGUCGAGGUUUGCGGAAUUCGUUGUGUAGCGGUGAAAUGCAUAGAUAUGACGAAGAACACCGAUUGCGUAGGCAGCAGACCAGGCCGUAAAUGACGCUCAUGCACGAAAGUGCGGGGAUCGAACAGGAUUAGAUACCCUGGUA